This 490-nucleotide long non-coding RNA is filed under the name Homo sapiens (human). RNAcentral's name for it is "HSALNT0280740". Lineage: Eukaryota; Metazoa; Chordata; Mammalia; Primates; Hominidae. The record is from RNAcentral.
GCACAGGUUCAACCCAGAAGAUUUCAAUAAAUUGAAAAGAGAAAUUGAAGCAUAGCCAAUAUGGAAAAAUAUAUGAUCGAAGACUAUGUGACCAAGGUGACCUUGGAAUUUCAUCCACUGAAGAGCCAGAGUCUAUUUUCCUUUCCUUUGAAUCUGGGCUGGCCCUGUAACUUGUUUUGGGCAAUAGAAUGUGGUGGAAGUGAUGGUGGGCCAGUUCCAGGUCCAGGUCUCAAAAGGCCUUGAGUGUUUUCACUUACUUCUGUGUUUGCCACGAGAACAUAUCCAGGUUAUCCUGUUGGAAGAUGGGACAUGAGGAGCAGAGUUGAGUCAUUCUAGUCAUUGCAGCUGAGGUUAUCCUAGAUUAGCUGAGCUGCAGAUGACUGUAAGAUCCAUGAGUGAGUCCAGUUGAAAUCAGAAGCACUGUCCAUCUGAGCCCAGCCUAAAUUGCCAACCCACAGACUUGUGAACACAAUAAAUGGUUAUUGUUUAA